GUACACUCCUGCGGGAGGCAGCAGUGGGGAAUAUUGGACAAUGGGCGCAAGCCUGAUCCAGCCAUGCCGCGUGAGUGAUGAAGGCCCUAGGGUUGUAAAGCUCUUUCACCGGUGAAGAUAAUGACGGUAACCGGAGAAGAAGCCCCGGCUAACUUCGUGCCAGCAGCCGCGGUAAUACGAAGGGGGCUAGCGUUGUUCGGAUUUACUGGGCGUAAAGCGCACGUAGGCGGACUAUUAAGUCAGGGGUGAAAUCCCGGGGCUCAACCCCGGAACUGCCUUUGAUACUGGUAGGCUUGAGUUCGAGAGAGGUGAGUGGAAUUCCGAGUGUAGAGGUGAAAUUCGUAGAUAUUCGGAGGAACACCAGUGGCGAAGGCGGCUCACUGGCUCGAUACUGACGCUGAGGUGCGAAAGCGUGGGGAGCAAACAGGAUUAGAAACCCCAGUAGUCCCAUGA
RNAcentral lists this ribosomal RNA (453 nucleotides) under uncultured organism. RNAcentral's name for it is "partial 16S ribosomal RNA". It matches the Rfam family "Bacterial small subunit ribosomal RNA", at positions 331 to 800 of the family's 1533-position model. The record is from RNAcentral.